This 2641-nucleotide long non-coding RNA is filed under the name Hordeum vulgare. RNAcentral describes it as "long non-coding RNA (HVUL_LNC009042)". The record is from RNAcentral. Lineage: Eukaryota; Viridiplantae; Streptophyta; Magnoliopsida; Poales; Poaceae.
AUGAUAUCAAACUCAUGUUAUCACAUGACACAAAGCACCUGCAACUAGCAACGCCAACAUUAGUAGCUGAGCAAAGCCUACUUAGCCAUUCAAUAUUUGCUAGGAGGGGGAAAGUGUUUGGGUUUCAUGGCAAUAUCAGGAGGCAAUUAUUUCAGUGGUAGGCAGCGAGCAUGUGACGAAGGAAACAUGAAUCUAGCAUAACAAGUCUAGAGAUGGAAUCAAGGUCAUAUCAUCUUGCAUGUGAUGUCCUCAGCUUGGAACUGCUCUUGUUCGUCCUGCACGUACUCUGCCGGAUCCACGUACUCUCUCUCUGAUCCCGGUGCUACCCAACAUAAAAAAUAGCAUCCAAUGAACAACAUCACUUCAAGAUGCAACAAGCACAUGAUGCAUGAGAUGAAAAUGAACAUGCACCUCUAUUCUACUCACUUGCACAUGCAUGAGAAGGUAAUACAAGUUCCUGGAAAGAAUUGCACUCUAAGCUAUCCUGACAUGCAUGAGGAUGGCAUGAACAGAUGCAUCACGCGAAAACGAUGCAAAAACAUAUAAAGAACGUUACGAACGGAGCUACAGAUCAACCGGAAACAACGAAAUAAGAAAUGGAGUCCUACGGAUCAAAUCCGACACAACACACUCCAAUGGCAUACUUGUGGUACUCCCAGGUUGCCAAGACAUAAAACAAACAAGUAUGUAUGGGAUGGUGCAAAGAAUAUCACCACACCAUCAUCUAUGCACUCACAAGCAUCAAAACAUCAAAACUAUACAAUCUGCCAUAAACAACAUCAUAGCAGUUUGAGGGCUACAUGCAAAGCACCUACAACCACCCAAAUAUGCCAAAUAGGAUAUGUGGCAGAAGCUAUUCAAAAGCUCUACAAGCAUGAGCAAAAAUAUAAUACAAAGGAGUUUCACACAGAAAAUUCUACAGCUGCUAACUUGGACAAAAAUAUCAGUUUUCAGGGACUUAGUGAAAAUUCCAGAUUCUCACUAGCUGUUUAUGCUCUGAAGCAUUUUGACAGCACCCAAAACAAUAACUAUAGGGCUUAAAAUGGAAUGAAAAUUGAUAGCAAGGGUUGAUUCCCAACACAUGGAGUUCUACAAGCACAACAACAUGAGAAGAAAAUAUAAGCAGAUUCUCAGACUUGGUGAAAAUCACAGAUUUUCACUAAACUGGAAUUUCAGCCACAUGCCUACUUUGACUAGGCACAACUUGCCCACAUGAACUUCUAAGCAUGAAACAAAACCAACAUGCUAUAGAGGGGUUCACCCUCUACUGCCACAACAAAGAAUCAACCUCUUGGGACCAUCACAUCACAUGGAACCAAGCUCUAAACAUUGAACAAAAUAGAAAUAUGACAUUCCCAAAAAGUGUUCCAAAGUGGAAUCUGAACCCACCAUUGGAUUCCUGGGAUGAUUCUACCCCAAAAACAUAUAUAAUACCUAUGUACUUGCAUAGAACAAAUGGGCACAAACUUGAAAAUAAAAUCUAUAUGGAAUCACAUAGAGGUGAAUAGUGCAUCAUCACAUGUGCUUCCACUAGCUCAUCACUUGUACAUGCUCUUGCACAUGUCCACAACACCAAUGGUGCAUAUGAGGGGUAGACCUCAUACUCAUGUGCCUUCGCACACCACCACACACUCACAUGCCUCAAGCACAACAUAUAGCAAGUCCUACACAUGCUAGUUAGAACACUCCACUACCUACACACACAUCAUGCCUCUCUACACCUACACAUAUAAACUUGCACAUGUGCUACCAAGGCACAACAUGACUUGGCAUGUGUGUGACACACACACACAAGCACUCACAACUUGCACACACAUAUCACAAGAUCAACUAACACACACACAAGGUGUGUGUGGGGGGCACAUACACACCUACACAUCACUUGCACAAGCUAGUGCAUGAGCUCAACACCAAGCACAUGAGAAACACACUCACAUACAUGCUACUAGCCUAGUGCAACACACGCAACCAAACACACCCACACAUACAUGGCAUCUAGCUCACAAAACACAUAUGCAUUCAACCUACACAUGCAUUUCUACCAAGAUAUAUCUACACAUGCACUCUGCGCUUGCUAGCAUCAAACACUAGGAACAACAUGCUGCUGUGAGAAGAAAUAAAAAUACCCCAGAUGAGACCAAGCAUCUGCAGCCACUAUACAAGAAAACAUAGCAAAACAGAGAAGAAAUGCAACAACAAAUAAAAAGGACAGGGGAGUGAUUCGAUCCCUAGACCCCCUGUAUCACCACACAUGACCAACACCACUGUGUUACUAGCACUUGCUCGACAGAACAAAGGGGACAAGCAAGGUAAGCUACUACUGAAGCCACUGCUUGCUACUGUGCCGAAACAAGGAUUUAAAAAGGGGUGUGCCGAGGGGAUUCGAUCCCACGACCUGCCACUGCACCCAAAAGACACCUACCACUCUGCUGCUGCAUCGAAACUUAAUAGAGGAGGGGAGUAAACCCUUUUGAGCAACCCCCUCAUGCCUAUCCUCUGCCCGACGGUGGCCGGAACAGGGGAAGGAGCUCGCCGAUGUUACAUGAUAAAUUAAGCUACGGCUUGUCGAUGGAAGGGAAUAGGAGUUCCCACGGUUCCAUUCCUACAUCUAAAUCUACUCGGGAAGGCCUAUAGCAACGGC